AUACGGAGGAUCCAGGCGUUAUCCGGAAUCAUUGGGUUUAAAGGGUCCGGAGGCGGGUUUGGAAGUCAGUGGUGAAAGUUUUCGGCUCAACCGGAAAAUUGCCAUUGAUACUGCAAGUCUUGAAUCAUUAUGAAGUGGUUAGAAUGUGUAGUGUAGCGGUGAAUGCAUAGAUAUUACACAGAAUACCGAUUGCGAAGGCAGAUCACUAAUAAUGUAUUGACGCUAAGGGACGAAAGCGUGGGUAGCGAACAGGAUUAGAAACCCUAGUAGUCC
Molecule: ribosomal RNA, 273 nt
Filed under: uncultured bacterium
Lineage: Bacteria
Description: partial 16S ribosomal RNA
Rfam family: Bacterial small subunit ribosomal RNA
Source: RNAcentral